CACUGACUCUCUGGCUGCGUUUGGAAAUCUGGACUUCAGCAUGAGACUUUGGCCUGGUUCUUUGCCUCCCACAGGUGGGGGACAUUGGCUGGGCUGAAGUAAUGUCCCAAGAGGAAGGUCUUCUAGCUCAGGGACUCCUGUGCCUCCAGUUCUGGGCCAGGUUACCCCUGGAGAAAUAAGGAAGUGAGGGAGGACCAGUAACAGAGUGUGAGGGCACUGGGCUUCUGGCCACCUGGCCCUAGCUUUUCCUGCUUCUCCUCUUGCUGUGUGGCCUCAGGCAAACCCUUCAGCAUCUCUGGGUCUCGUGUCUUCCCCAUCUUGGUUUCAUUCCACCUCAGGGUGGGGCCAUACUGGAGGAUCCAGACCCCACCAACACCAGCACCAUUUUCCUGGGCUCUGAGCUCCACAUGGAGUUUGCUGUGGUUGGCAGCUCCCAUUAGCCUUUACAGGUAUAUGUGGACGAGUGUGUGAUCAGCCCCAGCCAGGAUAUGGAAGUGGCCCCUGCACACUACAGCCUUGUCAGGAAUCAUGGGUACUGAACCUGGAGGAGGAGGAUAGGGUGCCUGGUGAACGGCAAGAACUUCCACUCCCACUUCGUGCCCCAAGAGGUCCCCAAGAGACUGGAGCUCUCCUUCCAGGCCUUCAGCUUUACUGGUACUCCUGCUGAUGUGAGUGGAAACAGAUAACCCCCUCCCCACUCUGCCACCCCGUAGGAACAGAGACCCAAGCUGAGGAAUCUUUGGAAGUUACGGGGUGCACCACAAGCUGUUGCUCUGGAAUCUAAAGGUCCCAUCUGAUGCUACCAAGAAGGCCUGUUCCUUCCACAGGGGCACUCAUGGUAAGAACUUCUGGAUGCCUCCCUGGGAGUAUGAGUGACAGUUGUGAGAUUACCUGCCUGGCCCCCUGAUUACCCUAUCAAAGGUCCUUGGCAGAUUCCAAUCAGGCCUCUGAGAAGGCUUCCCAUCAGGCCCCUGAGAAGGCUUCCAAUCAGGUGACAGAGAAGGCUGACUUGUCCUCUGAACUGAGUCAGGCUUCUGACUCUAGGGGGCCUGGAGACGAGCAAGGGAGCCCUCUCCUGUAGCCUGGGCUCUUCUCCAGGUCCCCUUCACAGUGAGAGACACUGGAGCUCUGCAUCCAGUGGUCUUUGGCAGUCCCUGUAGAACCAGGCUCUGGCUUCCUCCUUCUCCCCUCCCUCUCCUCCCUGGGCCCCCAUUUGUGGCCUGCCAGGGCAGAGCCUGAAACCUCAGGCAAUCUGGCUGUAAGCUUGCUUACCUCAUGACCUUGGAAGCCACUUACCCCUUUGAGCCUCCUUAUCCAGAACAGUAACUGCUGCCCACUGCAUAUUGUUAAUACAUGCUGCCUUUGUUGCCUGCCUGCCUGCCAAAGGAGGGGCCAGGGCUUCCAUUUUUCUGUUUAAUCCUCCCAAGAAUCCUCCCAAUAAUCCCAUGCAGUAGACACAAUCAGGUCCCAUUCUAUAGAUGGGGAAACUGAGGCUUGAGGUCACAUAGGCGUCGUUCAAGGCUGGUAUACCUGCACCCUCUCCCAUGUGAACAACAUGGUUCUGGGUAAUGGGGGCUGUCAUCCAGUCUCCUCCCUGCCCCUGCUGGUGCACUUCCUGCCUCUGCUGGUGCACUUUCUGCCCCUACUGGUAUAUUUGCUGCCUCUGCUGGGGCGCUUCCUGCCUCGGCUGGUGUAUCUCCUGCCCCUGCUGGUGCACUUUCUGCCCCCGCUGAUGCACUUCCUGCCUCUGCUGGUGCACUUCCUGGCUCUGCUGGCGCACUUCCUGCCUCUGCUGGUGCACUUCCUGGCUCUGCUGGCGCACUUCCUGCCCCUGCUGGUGUAUUUCCUGCCCCUGCUGGUGUACUUCCUUCCCCUGCUGGUGCACUUCCUGCCUCUGCUGGCGCACUUCUUGCCUCUCCAGGCCCUACCUAGCCUCUCCCUCUUAUAUAUGGAAGUCUUCCCAGUUCACUGACACUGGUAACAGGGACUCUGCUCUUGGUGUUGCUGUCUGCCCUGGGGAUGGGCAUCUGUGUCUUCCUUUACUACUGCUGGCUCAGGACCCAGAGCUUUGAAGCAUGUCCAGAUGCAGGUCCGGGCACCAGAGUCUAAGGAGCCCCUACACCCACCAGGAUUUUCCAAUAAAGAGAUGUUCACCAAUGAGUUUAGCUCUCUGGUUUUCCUGAGGAAGGGCUGGGAACAUGAGGUCCCCAGAACAGGGGCCACUGUUGGGGAUACUGUCUUAGGCAUGGCAGGACUCAGACAGGGGUGGGGAGGGGUGGAAAGAAGUGCGUUUUUCCUCCAAACCUGUGGCUGCCUUGGGUAGGCUGGGCUCAGAGCACUCCUGCCUUUGCCCCUUAAUGUUUGAGAAGCCCAGCAGCCCCCUAGGGCGGAGGUUGAGCCUCUUGAGGAUGAC
Molecule: long non-coding RNA, 2413 nt
Filed under: Homo sapiens (human)
Lineage: Eukaryota; Metazoa; Chordata; Mammalia; Primates; Hominidae
Description: uncharacterized LOC105372990 (LOC105372990)
Source: RNAcentral